RNAcentral lists this unclassified non-coding RNA (262 nucleotides) under Hevea brasiliensis (rubber tree). The record is from RNAcentral. Lineage: Eukaryota; Viridiplantae; Streptophyta; Magnoliopsida; Malpighiales; Euphorbiaceae.
AAAAAAGGUCCCUGGACUUCUGCGGAAGAUGUAAUUUUAGUGGAUUAUGUAAUGACACAUGGUGAGGGGAACUGGAAUGCUGUACAGAGGCAUUCAGGACUUGCUCGUUGUGGUAAAAGUUGCCGCUUGCGGUGGGCAAAUCACCUGAGACCAGAUUUAAAGAAAGGUGCAUUCACACCAGAGGAAGAGCAGCGGAUAGUUGAACUGCAUGCUAAAAUGGGAAAUAAAUGGGCACGCAUGGCUGUUGAGUUGCCUGGCCGUA